Molecule: transfer RNA, 81 nt
Filed under: Citrobacter werkmanii
Lineage: Bacteria; Pseudomonadati; Pseudomonadota; Gammaproteobacteria; Enterobacterales; Enterobacteriaceae
Description: tRNA-Asn(gtt)
Source: RNAcentral
GCAGAUCCUGGAAAAAGAAGGUCGUUUGCCGGACGCUGUUAUCGCCUGCGUGGGCGGUGGUUCUAACGCCAUUGGUCUGUU